Molecule: ribosomal RNA, 480 nt
Filed under: uncultured bacterium
Lineage: Bacteria
Description: partial 16S ribosomal RNA
Rfam family: Bacterial small subunit ribosomal RNA
Source: RNAcentral
AUGAACGCUGGCGGCGUGCUUAACACCUGCAAGUCGAACGAAGCACUUUAUUUGAUUUCCUUCGGGACUGAUUAUUUUGUGACUGAGUGGCGGACGGGUGAGUAACGCGUGGGUAACCUGCCUUGUACAGGGGGAUAACAGUUGGAAACGGCUGCUAAUACCGCAUAAGCGCACAGCAUCGCAUGAUGCAGUGUGAAAAACUCCGUUGGUAUAAGAUGGACCCGCGUUGGAUUAGCUAGUUGGUGAGGUAACGGCCCACCAAGGCGACGAUCCAGAGCCGAGCUGAGAGGGUGACGGGCAACAUGGGGACUGAGACACGGACAAAACUCAUACGGGAGGCAGCAGUGGGGAAUAGUGCACAAUGGGAGAAAGCCUGAUGAAGCGAAGCAGCGGGAGCGAAGAAGUAUUGCGGUAUGGAAAGAUCUAUCAGCAGGGAAGAUAAUGACGGUACCUGACGAAGAAGCACCGGCUAAAUACGUG